This is a long non-coding RNA of Sinocyclocheilus grahami, 343 nucleotides long. RefSeq lists it as uncharacterized. Lineage: Eukaryota; Metazoa; Chordata; Actinopteri; Cypriniformes; Cyprinidae. The transcript is spliced from 3 exons. The record is from RefSeq and is a predicted model, not a curated record.
CAGCAGGCGUGACGUCACGGAGCAGGUCUGCUCAUCCUCGCGGACGAGAACAGAUCUCUUACUGAAGACGUCAAGGACGACUGACCAGUAGCAUCCAGUGGGAUUGAUUUCUGAGCCGUGGGUGAGUUCCUGUGGCCUGCAGCAUCAUGGGGGAGUUGUUUCGCAGUGAGGAGAUGACUCUGGCCCAGCUCUUCCUCCAGUCUGAAGCGGCCUACUGCUGCGUCAGUGAACUGGGAGAGCUGGGAAUGGUGCAGUUCAGAGAUCUCAACCCUGAUGUGAACGUGUUCCAGAGGAAGUUUGUGAAUGAAGUGAGACGUUGUGAGGAGAUGGACAGGAAGCUCAG